Molecule: ribosomal RNA, 253 nt
Filed under: uncultured bacterium
Lineage: Bacteria
Description: partial 16S ribosomal RNA
Rfam family: Bacterial small subunit ribosomal RNA
Source: RNAcentral
UACGUAGGCAGCGAGCGUUGUUCGGAGUUACUGGGCGUAAAGAGUGCGUAGGCGGGUCUUUAAGUCAGGGGUGAAAUCCUGGAGCUCAACUCCAGAACUGCCUUUGAUACUGAAGAUCUUGAGUUCGGGAGAGGUGAGUGGAACUGCGAGUGUAGAGGUGAAAUUCGUAGAUAUUCGCAAGAACACCAGUGGCGAAGGCGGCUCACUGGCCCGAUACUGACGCUGAGGCACGAAAGCGUGGGGAGCAAACAGG